This 155-nucleotide non-coding RNA is filed under the name Pelodiscus sinensis (Chinese soft-shelled turtle). RNAcentral's name for it is "Eukaryotic large subunit ribosomal RNA". It matches the Rfam family "Eukaryotic large subunit ribosomal RNA", at positions 2441 to 2595 of the family's 3401-position model. Lineage: Eukaryota; Metazoa; Chordata; Testudines; Trionychidae. The record is from Rfam by way of RNAcentral.
GUGAAGAGACAUGAGAGGUGUAGAAUAAGUGGGAGGCCUCCGGGCCGCCGGUGAAAUACCACUACUCUUAUCGUUUUUUCACUUACCCGGUGAGGCGGGGGGGCGAGCCCCGAGGGGCUCUCGCUUCUGGCUCCAAGCGCCCGGCGCGUGCCGGG